RNAcentral lists this ribosomal RNA (253 nucleotides) under uncultured bacterium. Its description in RNAcentral is "partial 16S ribosomal RNA". It matches the Rfam family "Bacterial small subunit ribosomal RNA", at positions 524 to 776 of the family's 1533-position model. The record is from RNAcentral.
UACGUAGGGUGCGAGCGUUAAUCGGAAUUACUGGGCGUAAAGCGUGCGCAGGCGGCUUUGCAAGACAGAUGUGAAAUCCCCGGGCUCAACCUGGGAAUUGCGCUUGUGACUGCAAAGCUGGAGUGCGGCAGAGGGGGAUGAAAUUCCGCGUGUAGCAGUGAAAUGCGUAGAUAUGCGGAGGAACACCGAUGGCGAAGGCAAUCCCCUGGGCCUGCACUGACGCUCAUGCACGAAAGCGUGGGGAGCAAACAGG